This 749-nucleotide ribosomal RNA is filed under the name Rhodococcus sp. (in: high G+C Gram-positive bacteria). RNAcentral's name for it is "bacterial SSU rRNA". It matches the Rfam family "Bacterial small subunit ribosomal RNA", at positions 41 to 807 of the family's 1533-position model. The record is from RNAcentral. Lineage: Bacteria; Bacillati; Actinomycetota; Actinomycetes; Mycobacteriales; Nocardiaceae.
CGCGUGCUUAACACAUGCAAGUCGAGCGGUAAGGCCUUUCGGGGUACACGAGCGGCGAACGGGUGAGUAACACGUGGGUGAUCUGCCCUGCACUUCGGGAUAAGCCUGGGAAACUGGGUCUAAUACCGGAUAUGACCUCCUAUCGCAUGGUGGGUGGUGGAAAGAUUUAUCGGUGCAGGAUGGGCCCGCGGCCUAUCAGCUUGUUGGUGGGGUAAUGGCCUACCAAGGCGACGACGGGUAGCCGACCUGAGAGGGUGACCGGCCACACUGGGACUGAGACACGGCCCAGACUCCUACGGGAGGCAGCAGUGGGGAAUAUUGCACAAUGGGCGAAAGCCUGAUGCAGCGACGCCGCGUGAGGGACGACGGCCUUCGGGUUGUAAACCUCUUUCAGCAGGGACGAAGCGCAAGUGACGGUACCUGCAGAAGAAGCACCGGCUAACUACGUGCCAGCAGCCGCGGUAAUACGUAGGGUGCAAGCGUUGUCCGGAAUUACUGGGCGUAAAGAGUUCGUAGGCGGUUUGUCACGUCGUUUGUGAAAACUCACAGCUCAACUGUGAGCCUGCAGGCGAUACGGGCAGACUUGAGUACUGCAGGGGAGACUGGAAUUCCUGGUGUAGCGGUGAAAUGCGCAGAUAUCAGGAGGAACACCGGUGGCGAAGGCGGGUCUCUGGGCAGUAACUGACGCUGAGGAACGAAAGCGUGGGUAGCGAACAGGAUUAGAUACCCUGGUAGUCCACGCCGUAAAC